RNAcentral lists this ribosomal RNA (117 nucleotides) under Malus domestica (apple). Lineage: Eukaryota; Viridiplantae; Streptophyta; Magnoliopsida; Rosales; Rosaceae. The record is from RNAcentral.
CGACGCGUUUUGGAACUCACUGGCACUGGAUCCCAUAAGAACUCCGAAGUUAAGUGAGUUUGGGUGAGAGCAGUCCUAGGAUGGGUGACUCACUGGGAAGUUCUCGUGCCGAAACCC